Arachis duranensis is the source of this 517-nucleotide long non-coding RNA. RefSeq lists it as uncharacterized. The record is from RefSeq and is a predicted model, not a curated record. The transcript has 2 exons. Lineage: Eukaryota; Viridiplantae; Streptophyta; Magnoliopsida; Fabales; Fabaceae.
GCGGAUUUUCUGGAGCUACAGAAGGCCAAUUGGCGCGCUCUCAACGGCGUUGGAAAGUAGACAUCCUGGGCUUUCCAGCAAUAUAUAAUAGUCCAUACUUUGCCCAAGAUUUGAUGGCCCAAACCGGCGCUCAAAGUCACCUACAGAAAUUCCAGCGUUAAACGCCGGAACUGGCAUAAAAUUUGGAGUUAAACGCCCAAACUGGCAUAAAAGCUGGCGUUUAACUCCAGAAAACGUCUCUACACGAAAUUCCUUCAUUGCUCAGCCCAAGCACACACCAAGUGGGCCCGGAAGUGGAUUUUUCUGUCAUUUACUCAUUUCUGUAAACCUUAGGACACUAGUUUACUAUUUAUAGGAUCUUUUGACAUUGUAUCAGUACCUUAUGCAACCUUUUGAUGAUCUUAUGACAUUGUACACGUUUUCUUCCACAGUAUGAGUCUCUAAACCCCAUGGUUGGGGGUGAGGAGCUCUGCUGUGUCUUGAUGGAUUAAUGCAAUUACUACUGUUUCUCAUUCAA